AGUGAACGCUGGCGGUAGGCCUAACACAUGCAAGUCGAACGGCAGCACAGUAAGAGCUUGCUCUUACGGGUGGCGAGUGGGGGACGGGUGAGGAAUACAUCGGCCUCUACUUUUUCGUGGGGGAUAACGAAGGGAAACUUACGCUAAUACCGCAUACGACCUACGGGUGAAAGCAGGGGAUCUUCGGACCUUGCGCGAUUGAAUGAGCCGAUGUCGGAUUAGCUGGUUGGCGGGGUAAAGGCCCACCAAGGCGGCGAUCCGUAGCUGGUCUGAGAGGAGGGUCGCCCACAUGGGAACGGGGACACGGUCCAGGCGCCUGCGGAGGGGCGCAGUCGCGUAUAUGGGACAAUGGGCGCAAGCCUGAUCCAACCAUACCGCGUGGGUGAAGAAGGCCUUCGGGGUGGAAAGCCCUUUUGUUGGGAAAGAAAAGCAUUAGGUUAAUACCCCGCGGUACUGACGGUAACCAAUGAAUAAGCACCGGCUAACUUCGUG
RNAcentral lists this ribosomal RNA (492 nucleotides) under uncultured bacterium. RNAcentral's name for it is "partial 16S ribosomal RNA". It matches the Rfam family "Bacterial small subunit ribosomal RNA", at positions 29 to 507 of the family's 1533-position model. The record is from RNAcentral.